CUUUUCUCUUUUAUAGUCUCUAAUUUAUUUGAGCAAGCACGAUAUCUGAUUCAGCAAACUUGGAGUAGCAUUUUCGUGGAUUUUUGUGGGCACCUGAGGCUAAUAGAAAGCGACUACACUUGUAUCUUGGGAGCAGGUCUGUGCCCCUAAAUAUAGGGGUAGAAUUGGAGUGCAAUCUCUAGCCCUCAAGAGACAAGCACUAUUUGGUAAGUUGGCAG
RNAcentral lists this long non-coding RNA (218 nucleotides) under Elaeis guineensis (African oil palm). RNAcentral describes it as "long non-coding RNA (EGUI_LNC000968)". The record is from RNAcentral. Lineage: Eukaryota; Viridiplantae; Streptophyta; Magnoliopsida; Arecales; Arecaceae.